RNAcentral lists this ribosomal RNA (423 nucleotides) under uncultured bacterium. Its description in RNAcentral is "bacterial SSU rRNA". It matches the Rfam family "Bacterial small subunit ribosomal RNA", at positions 207 to 622 of the family's 1533-position model. The record is from RNAcentral.
AAGACCUUGCACUUUUGGAGCGGCCGAUGUCUGAUUAGCUAGUUGGUGGGGUAAUGGCCUACCAAAGCUUCGAUCAGUAGCUGGUCUGAGAGGACGGCCAGCCACACUGGGACUGAGACACGGUCCAGACUCCUACGGGAGGCAGCAGUGGGGAAUUUUGGACAAUGGGCGCAAGCCUGAUCCAGCCAUGCCGCGUGAGUGAAGAAGGCCUUCGGGUUGUAAAGCUCUUUCAGCCGGGAAGAAAAGGUUGCGACUAAUAAUCGCAAUUCAUGACGGUACCGAAAGAAGAAGCACCGGCUAACUACGUGCCAGCAGCCGCGGUAAUACGUAGGGUGCGAGCGUUAAUCGGAAUUACUGGGCGUAAAGGGUGCGCAGGCGGUUUUGUAAGUCAGAUGUGAAAUCCCCGGGCUUAACCUGGGAACU